CUCACAUGAAUAUAUUUUUCCUCAAAUACAAAUUACAAGAGAUAGUCAAAGUCAUGUAUAUAAAUAGUGUCAAAAGUCAAAACAUGUAAACUAAUAAAGACCGGAGAGAUUAAAUGACAAGCUAAAUAUAAUGACAUAAAGUUUAUCUUUGAACCAGUUUCUGCUAGUUUUGUAUGUAUUUUGGUGUAUCCUGGCAUGUUGCUGUGUGUCAGCAAAUUUACCGCGCAUCAAUAAUCUCUUAUUAACAAAUUGAAAAUUUUGAAUUAUAACUUCAAUAUUGUUUUGUAUUAUAGGUACUUGAUGAUAUGGUAUUUAGUGGUCUAAUUUGACCACCAUGACUCUGGUUCCGGAACCAUCGAGUUCGGCUACCCAACAUCUCCAUUUUACUUUCUUUGGGACAAGAGAAAGAGGAAAAUGGGAAAGAAAGAAGAAAUGACCAUUCUCGAGGGAACUCUCGAUUUGGAAACUAUUAAUAACGAAUUGGCGCUAAACACAUAGUGAUGCAAGUAGGUCAUGUAACUUCACUCUGAAGGAGCCAAGUUCUAUGCUGGAUUCGAAAUCCAUUUGGUGGGAUUAAUCGGCUCGUGAUCACUUGUGUCAAUCAAUGGGCUUCGGAUAGCAACAGUCUG
This is a long non-coding RNA of Beta vulgaris subsp. vulgaris (sugar beet), 629 nucleotides long. RefSeq lists it as uncharacterized. The transcript is spliced from 2 exons. The record is from RefSeq and is a predicted model, not a curated record. NCBI's taxonomy places the organism in Eukaryota, Viridiplantae, Streptophyta, Magnoliopsida, Caryophyllales, Amaranthaceae.